Long non-coding RNA from Bufo bufo (common toad), 322 nucleotides. RefSeq lists it as uncharacterized. The record is from RefSeq and is a predicted model, not a curated record. NCBI's taxonomy places the organism in Eukaryota, Metazoa, Chordata, Amphibia, Anura, Bufonidae. The transcript is spliced from 3 exons.
AUUUAGUGCUGUCUUCCCCUCCACUGCAAGGCCGGCCCAGGGAGCUACGGCAAAAGUGGUGUUAAAAGGGCGUUCACAACUUUAAAAGAUACAGAGCUGGGGGAUUUGGAUGUAGAUUUGCCACCGAUUUCACCCUCUGCAUUGCAAAGCAUUGAAUGCGCAGUGGAAAUCGGCAGCAGAAAUUGACAGGUUGCGGAUUUGAAAGCCACCCUAUCACGCUCAUUGCUGGUAGUUUAAGCCUCGCUUACUCUCUGUGUGGAUGUACCCUAAUGUAGCAGAGCAGCAGCAGACCAUGUGUAAAGUGAUGGAGGAGUCUUCUACU